Molecule: small nucleolar RNA, 85 nt
Filed under: Acanthochromis polyacanthus (spiny chromis)
Lineage: Eukaryota; Metazoa; Chordata; Actinopteri; Pomacentridae
Description: Small nucleolar RNA U2-30 (ENSAPOG00000016030.1)
Source: RNAcentral
GAGCGAUGAUGUGACUUCAUUAACCCUGAAGUGUAUUUUCUAAAAAGUACAUUUCAUGAUGGUUUCUACACUUGAACUGAGCUCA